CAACAAAAACUGCCGGACCAUUCUCUAUUAAAGUUUCUUCUUCAUCCUUCGUAGGAUUGCUGUUGCAUAUAUUGCCCGACACCAAACCGAAGAAGUUGUCGAUCACUUUGGACUUUUCUCAAACAGGGUGUUGUCCGGUGAUUGAAUUUCUCUUCACACAAGGACAGAUUGUGAAGGAGAUUUUGUAAACUAUCAGCAGCAGUAGAGAACAAGGCACAAAGAAUAAAGGAAAUUGAUGGACCCAA
RNAcentral lists this long non-coding RNA (245 nucleotides) under Dermacentor andersoni. Its description in RNAcentral is "uncharacterized LOC126539971". The record is from RNAcentral. Lineage: Eukaryota; Metazoa; Arthropoda; Arachnida; Ixodida; Ixodidae.